AAGAAGACAACACAUAUAAUAACAGAGUGUAUAGAUAUAAAUGUCACAAUAUAAUCAGAAUACUUAUUACAUAGCGGAGGUCCUUACAAAAUAAAAGAUAAAUAUAUAUUGAACUAAAGUCCAUCCUUGGCGCCAUAAAGUCAACUGAGAGACGCCACCUAGAUCAAGUCAAACUCCUCGAUACGUGGCUCCUCUUGAAUCACCUGUUCUUUUCCUGUGGGGGUGUGAGACAGCAAGGGUGAGCUCACACAUGUUCAUCGCUCAAUUAAGUUGUGGGGAAUAAUGUGCAUGAACUCACCAAAGGUGGGAGUUCAUGUGAUGUGUAAGGCUGAUCAAUAAUAGGGGUUAAGGCUGAGCAUUGCUUUAAUAAGUUGGUCAAAUUUUAUUAGCAGUUACUAUGUGUAAGUAAAUACCAAGCCAUAAUAAAAAUAAUAGAACAAAAUUAAUAAUAAAUCCCAUGCAAUGCAAAUGAAAAAUUGAAUUUAGGUUCCAUAAUUUAAUCAUGCGAGAGUCCUGAGCUGCUCUUGUCCAUAAGCUCGGCUAAUAUACCAGUUUUACACUCUGCAGAGGUUGUACCCUGGACCCACAAGUCAUGUUACCCAUCUGCUAAGGGGUCAUGAAUCACAUACAACUCUACCAAGGAAGCGAGGCAGGGUAACACUACGAGGCCUUUACAAAGUUCCACUAGCUUCCGAAAACCCGCUACAGUUUAUGGGAAGAGUACUUGCAAGAAUCCCUCGUCUAGUUGCCAUCGCAACAAAAUCAACCCGAGAACCUUCCUACAUGCAACUCCCCUACUGCCAGUGGCGGACCUAGGAUUUGACCAUAGGGUAUGCGAUGCAAAAAAGUUAUAUAUAAUUCGGUAAAACCAUAUAUAGUAUGACGAUAGAUCCAGAUGAUGAACCUUCAAGAGACCGUGAUUAUAUAUGAUAAUCUAAUAUAUAUAUAUAUAUAUAUAUAUAUAUAUAUAUAUAUAUAUAUAUAUAUAUAUAUACACCGUAGAUGAGACAUGAGAAGUGAUCCUCCGAUUUAGAGCGGGGCGGCGGCAGACUGCGACCCAACACUAUGGCCAGGGCUUCGUUCUCUCCGAUCAAGAUUAGAUUAGAAAAAUGAAACGUCCAUGCCACUAGGAAAUUGAAACGGCGGUGGACUGCAGUGUAGGCACUACGAGUCAGAAAAAUGAAACAUCCAAUGCAUUAUGUUGCCGCUCGGGCCGCAUCUUAAUCGCCUAAUGGGCCUCCUGUCAUGACACCAUACUGUCCAGUGCACUAUAUUUCUUUUAUUUUUUUCCUUUUUAGUUUUUACAUAUACGGUAUAUAUACACUCACUGGUUUUACAGGGUAUGCCGGUGCAUACCUGGCAUACCCUGUAGGUCCGCCACUACCUACUACCCUUGCCCCUUUCGUGUAAGGUAGUCUUCCACUAGUUUUCCUAAUUAUUCAGCCAAGGGCGUCCCAUUCCACCCUUGUGGUGGCACGUGUUUCUCAAGUUAAGCUCCAUGUUCCAAUUAAAGAUAAUGAUCUUGACAUGACCAUAAAUAAAAUAACAGAAAAAUUGGAACAUGAAUAUAAUGAAAUAUUAACCCAAAACCAUGUAAAGCAAUAGCAUAGCUACCCAAAUGAUUCAGGGAUAAACAAGGUAAAAAGGAUAAACAUACUAGGGUGACCUAUUGGGUCCCAUCAAAAUUAAACCUAUGCAUGAAUAAGUGAUAUUAAAGAAUAUUAUUGGGGAAUAAAUGUGGUCAAGGGCACAACUUACCUGGGACUUAAGAUUCCAGGUACCAGGAUGAUCCUCAGGUGACUUGACCUCACUUCUACUCGUAGCAGUACAAACAAUCAUGGUAUAGAUAAAAUUAACAUCACACCAAUCAUAAGAUUAAACUGUAUAAUAAUGAUCUACGUGUUGCUAUGAGAUUGCGGGAACGAGAACAACUAAGAUCGGAGUUAUGGUUAAGGAGGUAUGAUUUAUGGAAGAUCUACGUGAUUCAAAUAUUAAACUAUAUUAUAAAUUGGUUAGCAUAGAUCAUAUGAGAGGUUAUUCUAUAAAUAAUUAUCUCAACUUUAAUCUAAGUUAUAAGUUGAUCAUAGAUCAUAUUCUAGUAGAUUAUAAAGAUAAGCAUAUUAACAAGACUAACCAACUUAAGCUAAAUAAAAACUCUAAUUAUAAAGGAAUAAGACAUGGUACAAGAAAUAUUGUUAUUGUAUAGUAAAUAUUCAUAUGAAGCCAACGCGACUUGAACGGACCAAAUCGAAAUUAAAACGAAGAAGUUAUGGAUUUACAAAGUUUUAAGUGUUGGAUAAAAGACUAAUUAGAAUAUUAAUUUUAAUGUGGCUUUCAUGUCAAAAUAGUGGCACUAAUUGAUAAACAAUAAUAUUACAAAAUGAUAGGAAAUGGAAUGAAUUAAUUUGGAGCUAGAAUGGAUUUUCUAUGAAUUAAAUAAGUUUUUGGAAUUAUUUUAACACUAAAAAUCAUUUUCUAAUUGAAUUUCUGAAUUUUCCUAUGAUUCUGAACUGCACGCCAAUUUCCGGAGAGUGCAGGGGCUAAUCCAUAGUUUUUCCAAAGACUCAGUUCUCCACCAGAGUGGACUACGAGUUGAAUCUGAAAAAGAGCAGGGGCUCUCUUGCAAAGUGGUGGCCGAAGGGGUAUUACUAGAUCUCGGCCGAUGGAUUUUGAAUCUGUGGUCAUGAUUAGAUUCUCGUUGUAAUGAGCCGGUACGCGAGUAUAGCCCUCGGAUCACAGAUCUAACGGCCACCAGGUACCCGACCGAAACAUCUCCUACCCUAGAUCCCCACCGUCAGAUUAGGAUUUGAUGGUCGCCAUUCCUCGCAACGAAGGGGUACGUGAUAUUUUAAUCACCACCACUAUUCAGAUCCGACGGCCCCAGUCCAUCUUCAACCCCUCGCCUCCAACCCUCUCUUCUCGCUAGUCAGCCCAGGGCGACCGAGGCCACCAGGGCAUAAAACCCGGCCACGACGCCAUGCGCGCCCGAGCACUAGUCGAACCACGGUCGCGCGUAGAAGGAACACAUACCGUCAUCGCAGCAGAAAAGGCACUCACCAAUGAUGGGGGUAGGGCUGGUCGUCGACAAAGUGCGGGGCAUGGUGCUGCGCAGGCCCCAGCGUAGGUGAAGAUGGCGCCGUCAGCGCGCAUAGAAGGCAGGGACGAGACCGGCGUCCAGGGGCGGCAGCGAGUUGUGAGGAAGAAACUUUGGCGGGGAAAAGAGGCCGCGUCGGGUCUUCACGGUGGUGGCGGCUCUUAUUUUCUGCGUCGUCGCACACGCACAAUCACUCGUGGAGGUGGUCGUGGAGAUGGAAAAGAAAGGAAAGGAGGCCCUCCC
This 3337-nucleotide long non-coding RNA is filed under the name Zea mays. RNAcentral's name for it is "long non-coding RNA (ZMAY_LNC003258)". The record is from RNAcentral. Lineage: Eukaryota; Viridiplantae; Streptophyta; Magnoliopsida; Poales; Poaceae.